UACGUAGGCAGCAAGCGUUGUUCGGAGUUACUGGGCGUAAAGGGUGUGUAGGCGGUUGCUUAAGUUUGGUGUGAAAUCUCCCGGCUCAACUGGGAGGGUGCGCCGAAUACUGAGUGACUCGAGUGCGGGAGAGGAAAGUGGAAUUCCGUGGUGAUAGCGGUGAAAUGCGUAGAUAUCAGGAGGAACACCGGUGGUGUAGACGGCUUUCUGGACCGUAACUGAACGC
RNAcentral lists this ribosomal RNA (226 nucleotides) under uncultured bacterium. Its description in RNAcentral is "partial 16S ribosomal RNA". It matches the Rfam family "Bacterial small subunit ribosomal RNA", at positions 524 to 746 of the family's 1533-position model. The record is from RNAcentral.